GUGAUUGCUUUGGCAGCACAUAUAUUAAAAUUAGAAUGAUACAGAGAAGAUUGGCAUGGCCCCUGCACAAGGAUGACAUGCAAAUUCGUGAAGCAUUUCAUAUUUUU
This is a small nuclear RNA of Fukomys damarensis (Damara mole-rat), 107 nucleotides long. The record is from Ensembl. Lineage: Eukaryota; Metazoa; Chordata; Mammalia; Rodentia; Bathyergidae.